Molecule: long non-coding RNA, 1135 nt
Filed under: Oryctolagus cuniculus (rabbit)
Lineage: Eukaryota; Metazoa; Chordata; Mammalia; Lagomorpha; Leporidae
Description: lncRNA (ENSOCUG00000033729.1)
Source: RNAcentral
CCCGGCCACAGCCAGUUUCCCAGGCGGUCACACGCAGGGGGCUCUGCAGGCUCCACCCACGUGGGCGCGGAAAAGCCAUUCCUGAAGGGGACUGUGGUGCGCCCAGUGUGGCGCCCGGCUCGCAGCCCGCAAGGGACGGAGCUGGGACUUGCGGAGCAAACAGGGCCCGGAAGGAAGCAGAAUGAGGCCGGCCGCUGUGCCCCAGGGGCCGGGAGGACCGGGCAGGGUGGAGCAGCCGGGGCGGGGCUAGCGCUGGGGACACAGCGGGACUCCGGUGCUGCACCUCGGGUCUCAGUUCUGGUCACCAAGCUUGCCAAGGGCUGACCAUGGGGAGAGUCUUCUUAGACACGGGAACGUUGUGCAGGCAGCUCGGAGACGCCCAGGCGAGCCUGAGAGCCAGCUGGCACUUUAAGAUCACCGCGCGUUGCAAGGCGCUGCGGUGGGAGUGAGCCGGCUUCAGUCCCAGGUGCCCCCAGGCAACACCUGUUCGCCCGUGUGGAGUGGAGACAAGGGCAGGACGAGCCCCCUCUGAGCAGCGCUGCCUGCACUGCCAGGUCCACGAGACCUCCCAGGAGCCAUCAGGACCCAGCAGCCACGCCCCGGCCCUGCAACAGACUGUGCGGGAUCUGCGUCCUCACAGCCCUCAUCUGACUGUGCGGGGUCUGCGUCCUCAUCACAGCCCUCAUCUGACUGUGCGGGGUCUGCGUCCUCAUCACAGCCCUCAUCUGACUGUGCGGGGUCUGCGUCCUCAUCACAGCCCUCAUCUGACUGUGCGGGGUCUUGUCCUCACAGCCCUCAUCUGACUGUGCGGGGUCUGCGUCCUCAUCACAGCCCUCAUCUGACGGUGCGGGGUCUGCGUCCUCAUCACAGCCCUCAUCUGACUGUGCGGGGUCUUGUCCUCAUCACAGCCCUCAUCUGACUGGGCGGGGUCUGCGUCCUCAUCACAGCACUCAUCUGACUGUGCGGGGUCUGCGUCCUCACAGCCCUCAUCUGACGGGGGGGGGUCCUCGUCCUCACAGCCCUCAUCUGACUGUGCGGGGGUCUUGUCCUCAUCACAAACCUCAUCUGACGGGGCGGGGGCUUGUCCUCAUCACAACCCUCAUAUGAAGGGGCGGGGGCGCGUCCACACAAACCU